CAAUAGCGUAUAUUAAAGUUGUUGCAGUUAAAAAGCUCGUAGUCGGAUUUUGGUACCAAGCCGAACGGUCUGCCGAACGGUAUGCACUGUUUAGCGGGUACUUCCUUCCGGAAGCCCGUGCUCUCCUUAAUUGGAUGGCACGGUGAGUCCGGAUCAUUUACUUGAAAAAAUUAGAGUGUUCAAAGCAGGCCUAUGCUCUGAAUAGCUUAGCAUGGAAUAAUAGAAUAGGACUUUGGUGCUAUUUUGUUGGUUUAUGGGACCGAAGUAAUGAUUAACAGGGACAGUUGGGGCCGUUAUAUUUCGUUGUCAGAGGUGAAAUUCUUGGAUUUACGAAAGAUAAACUUCUGCGAAAGCAUUCGGCAAGGAUGUUUUCAUUGAUCAAGAACGAAAGUUAGGGGAUCGAAGACGAUUAGAUACCG
This 419-nucleotide ribosomal RNA is filed under the name uncultured eukaryote. Its description in RNAcentral is "bacterial SSU rRNA". It matches the Rfam family "Eukaryotic small subunit ribosomal RNA", at positions 592 to 1017 of the family's 1831-position model. The record is from RNAcentral.